This 253-nucleotide ribosomal RNA is filed under the name uncultured bacterium. Its description in RNAcentral is "partial 16S ribosomal RNA". It matches the Rfam family "Bacterial small subunit ribosomal RNA", at positions 524 to 776 of the family's 1533-position model. The record is from RNAcentral.
UACGAACCGUACAAACGUUAUUCGGAAUCACUGGGCUUAAAGGGUGCGUAGGCGGCCACGUAAGUGAGAUGUGAAAUCCCUCGGCUCAACCGAGGAAGUGCAUUUCAUACUGCAUGGCUUGAGGGAGACAGGGGUAAGCGGAACUGAUGGUGGAGCGGUGAAAUGCGUUGAUAUCGUCAGGAACACCGGUGGCGAAAGCGGCUUACUGGGUCUCUUCUGACGCUGAGGUACGAAAGCUAGGGUAGCGAACGGG